AUUGAACGCUAGCGGCAUGCCUAACACAUGCAAGUCGAACGAGUGGCGGACGGGUGAGUAAUAUAUGGGAAAGUGCCCAGUGGCGGGGGAUAACUACUCGAAACGGUAGCUAAUACCGCAUACCAUCGGAUGUACCCAUAUGGGAUUAGCUAGUAGGUGGGGUAACGGCUCACCUAGGCGACGAUCCCUAGCUGGUCUGAGAGGAUGAUCAGCCACACUGGGACUGAGACACGGCCCAGACUCCUACGGGAGGCAGCAGUGGGGAAUAUUGCACAAUGGGCGCAAGCCUGAUGCAGCCAUGCCGCGUGUAUGAAGAAGGCCCUAGGGUUGUAAAGUACUUUCAGCCGGGAGGCGUUACCGGCAGAAGAAGCACCGGCUAACUCCGUGCCAGCAGCCGCGGUAAUAC
This 406-nucleotide ribosomal RNA is filed under the name uncultured bacterium. RNAcentral's name for it is "partial 16S ribosomal RNA". It matches the Rfam family "Bacterial small subunit ribosomal RNA", at positions 30 to 526 of the family's 1533-position model. The record is from RNAcentral.